GCAGACCAUCCUACGGGAGGCAGCAGUGGGGAAUAUUGCACAAUGGGCGCAAGCCUGAUGCAGCCAUGCCGCGUGUAUGAAGAAGGCCUUCGGGUUGUAAAGUACUUUCAGCAGUGAGGAAGGUGGGUAUGUUAAUAGCAUACUCAUUUGACGUUAGCUGCAGAAGAAGCACCGGCUAACUCCGUGCCAGCAGCCGCGGUAAUACGGAGGGUGCGAGCGUUAAUCGGAAUUACUGGGCGUAAAGCGCAUGCAGGUGGUUUGUUAAGUCAGAUGUGAAAGCCCGGGGCUCAACCUCGGAAUUGCAUUUGAAACUGGCAAACUAGAGUACUGUAGAGGGGGUAGAAUUUCAGGUGUAGCGGUGAAAUGCGUAGAGAUCUGAAGGAAUACCGGUGGCGAAGGCGGCCCCCUGGACAGAUACUGACACUCAGAUGCGAAAGCGUGGGGAGCAAACAGGAUUAGAUACCCUGGUAG
This 471-nucleotide ribosomal RNA is filed under the name uncultured bacterium. Its description in RNAcentral is "bacterial SSU rRNA". It matches the Rfam family "Bacterial small subunit ribosomal RNA", at positions 331 to 793 of the family's 1533-position model. The record is from RNAcentral.